RNAcentral lists this ribosomal RNA (427 nucleotides) under uncultured bacterium. Its description in RNAcentral is "partial 16S ribosomal RNA". It matches the Rfam family "Bacterial small subunit ribosomal RNA", at positions 355 to 774 of the family's 1533-position model. The record is from RNAcentral.
UGGGGAAUAUUGCACAAUGGGCGCAAGCCUGAUGCAGCCAUGCCGCGUGUAUGAAGAAGGCCUUCGGGUUGUAAAGUACUUUCAGCGAGGAGGAAGGCGUUGUGGUUAAUAACCGCAGCGAUUGACGUUACUCGCAGAAGAAGCACCGGCUAACUCCGUGCCAGCAGCCGCGGUAAUACGGAGGGUGCAAGCGUUAAUCGGAAUUACUGGGCGUAAAGCGCACGCAGGCGGUCUGUCAAGUCGGAUGUGAAAUCCCCGGGCUCAACCUGGGAACUGCAUCCGAAACUGGCAGGCUAGAGUCUUGUAGAGGGGGGUAGAAUACCAGGUGUAGCGGUGAAAUGCGUAGAGAUCUGGAGGAAUACCGGUGGCGAAGGCGGCCCCCUGGACAAAGACUGACGCUCAGGUGCGAAAGCGUGGGGAGCAAACA